This 606-nucleotide ribosomal RNA is filed under the name uncultured bacterium. RNAcentral's name for it is "bacterial SSU rRNA". It matches the Rfam family "Bacterial small subunit ribosomal RNA", at positions 240 to 862 of the family's 1533-position model. The record is from RNAcentral.
AUUAGCUAGUUGGUGAGGUAAAGGCUCACCAAGGCGACGAUGGGUAGCCGGUCUGAGAGGAUGGUCGGCCACACUGGGACUGAGACACGGCCCAGACUCCUACGGGAGGCAGCAGUGGGGAAUUUUGCGCAAUGGGGGCAACCCUGACGCAGCGACGCCGCGUGGGUGAUGAAGGCCUUCGGGUUGUAAAGCCCUGUCUGGGGGGAAGAUAGUGACGGUACCCCCGGAGGAAGCCCCGGCUAACUACGUGCCAGCAGCCGCGGUAAGACGUGGGGGGCGAGCGUUGUCCGGAAUUAUUGGGCGUAAAGGGCGUGUAGGCGGCUUUUCAAGUCAGCUGUGAAAUUCCCCGGCUCAACCGGGGGCCUGCAGUUGAAACUGGGGAGCUUGAGUGCAGGAGAGGAGGGUGGAAUUCCUGGUGUAGCGGUGAAAUGCGUAGAUAUCAGGAGGAACACCGGUGGCGAAGGCGACCUUCUGGCCUGUUACUGACGCUGAGGCGCGAAAGCCGGGGGAGCGAACAGGAUUAGAUACCCUGGUAGUCCUGGCUGUAAACGCUGGGUACUAGGUGUAGGGGGUUUAGAUACCUUCUGUGCCGUAGUUAACGCAUUA